RNAcentral lists this ribosomal RNA (253 nucleotides) under uncultured bacterium. RNAcentral describes it as "partial 16S ribosomal RNA". It matches the Rfam family "Bacterial small subunit ribosomal RNA", at positions 524 to 776 of the family's 1533-position model. The record is from RNAcentral.
UACGUAGGGGGCUAGCGUUGUCCGGAUUUAUUGGGCGUAAAGAGCGUGUAGGCGGCUAGACAGGUCCGUUGUGAAAACUCGAGGCUCAACCUCGAGACGCCGAUGGAAACCGUCUGGCUAGAGUCCGGAAGAGGAGAGUGGAAUUCCUGGUGUAGCGGUGAAAUGCGCAGAUAUCAGGAAGAACACCCGUGGCUAAGGCGGCUCUCUAGUACGGUACUGACGCUGAGACGCGAAAGCGUGGGGAGCGAACAGG